This 1545-nucleotide ribosomal RNA is filed under the name Serratia inhibens. RNAcentral's name for it is "bacterial SSU rRNA". It matches the Rfam family "Bacterial small subunit ribosomal RNA". Lineage: Bacteria; Pseudomonadati; Pseudomonadota; Gammaproteobacteria; Enterobacterales; Yersiniaceae. The record is from RNAcentral.
AAAUUGAAGAGUUUGAUCAUGGCUCAGAUUGAACGCUGGCGGCAGGCCUAACACAUGCAAGUCGAGCGGUAGCACAGGAGAGCUUGCUCUCCGGGUGACGAGCGGCGGACGGGUGAGUAAUGUCUGGGAAACUGCCUGAUGGAGGGGGAUAACUACUGGAAACGGUAGCUAAUACCGCAUAACGUCUACGGACCAAAGUGGGGGACCUUCGGGCCUCACGCCAUCAGAUGUGCCCAGAUGGGAUUAGCUAGUAGGUGGGGUAAUGGCUCACCUAGGCGACGAUCCCUAGCUGGUCUGAGAGGAUGACCAGCCACACUGGAACUGAGACACGGUCCAGACUCCUACGGGAGGCAGCAGUGGGGAAUAUUGCACAAUGGGCGCAAGCCUGAUGCAGCCAUGCCGCGUGUGUGAAGAAGGCCUUAGGGUUGUAAAGCACUUUCAGCGAGGAGGAAGGGCAGUGUGUUAAUAGCACAUUGCAUUGACGUUACUCGCAGAAGAAGCACCGGCUAACUCCGUGCCAGCAGCCGCGGUAAUACGGAGGGUGCAAGCGUUAAUCGGAAUUACUGGGCGUAAAGCGCACGCAGGCGGUUUGUUAAGUCAGAUGUGAAAUCCCCGCGCUUAACGUGGGAACUGCAUUUGAAACUGGCAAGCUAGAGUCUUGUAGAGGGGGGUAGAAUUCCAGGUGUAGCGGUGAAAUGCGUAGAGAUCUGGAGGAAUACCGGUGGCGAAGGCGGCCCCCUGGACAAAGACUGACGCUCAGGUGCGAAAGCGUGGGGAGCAAACAGGAUUAGAUACCCUGGUAGUCCACGCUGUAAACGAUGUCGAUUUGGAGGUUGUGCCCUUGAGGCGUGGCUUCCGGAGCUAACGCGUUAAAUCGACCGCCUGGGGAGUACGGCCGCAAGGUUAAAACUCAAAUGAAUUGACGGGGGCCCGCACAAGCGGUGGAGCAUGUGGUUUAAUUCGAUGCAACGCGAAGAACCUUACCUACUCUUGACAUCCAGAGAAUUCGCUAGAGAUAGCUUAGUGCCUUCGGGAACUCUGAGACAGGUGCUGCAUGGCUGUCGUCAGCUCGUGUUGUGAAAUGUUGGGUUAAGUCCCGCAACGAGCGCAACCCUUAUCCUUUGUUGCCAGCGAUUCGGUCGGGAACUCAAAGGAGACUGCCGGUGAUAAACCGGAGGAAGGUGGGGAUGACGUCAAGUCAUCAUGGCCCUUACGAGUAGGGCUACACACGUGCUACAAUGGCGUAUACAAAGAGAAGCGAACUCGCGAGAGCAAGCGGACCUCAUAAAGUACGUCGUAGUCCGGAUUGGAGUCUGCAACUCGACUCCAUGAAGUCGGAAUCGCUAGUAAUCGUAGAUCAGAAUGCUACGGUGAAUACGUUCCCGGGCCUUGUACACACCGCCCGUCACACCAUGGGAGUGGGUUGCAAAAGAAGUAGGUAGCUUAACCUUCGGGAGGGCGCUUACCACUUUGUGAUUCAUGACUGGGGUGAAGUCGUAACAAGGUAACCGUAGGGGAACCUGCGGUUGGAUCACCUCCUUACCU